UCCCGCGGUGCAGCGGCCGGCCGGGUAGGCGCUAGGACCCCGAGCCUCGGCGGCGGCGGCGGCGGCGGCGCUGCCUUCACUCAUCUCGUCCUCGCUCCCGUCCUACCCCGUUCCGCGCUGGGUGGAGUCCAAGUCUGAUUGCGAGGGUCCGGAACGCCGCCUCGGGGGCUUGACUCCAGCCCCGGGGAUCCAGAACGGCGCCCGGGGGUCCCUACGUCUGCCUUGGGGGCUCGAGUCCCUCCCUGGGCGUCCGUGACGUCGCCCAGGGGUCUCCACGUCUGCCCUGGAACCUGGAGAGCCGCCGUGGGGGUCCCGGAAGCCGCCCAGGAGUCCCCACGUGUGCCCUGGGGGCUCUUGUCCAGCUCUGGGGGUCCCGGACGCCACCCAGGGGGUCCCCACGUCUGCUUUGGGGGCUCGAGUCUAGCCCUGGGGGUCCUGGACGCCGCCUCGGCGUCCCCGCGUCUGCCUUGGGGGCUCGAGUCUCGCCCUGGGGGUCCCCGAUGCCGCCUGGGGGUCCUCACGACUACCUUGGAGACUGGAGUUCCCCUUGGGAGUCCCGGACGCCACCCCGGAGUCACCGCGUCUAGCCUUGGGGGCUUGAGUCCAGCCCUGGGGGUCCCGGACGUCCCCGAGGAGCCCCCACGUCUGCCUUUGGGGCUUGAGUCCAGCCCUGGGGGUCCCGGACGUCGCCGAGGAGCCCCCACGUCUGCCUUUGGGGCUUGAGACCUGCUCUGGGGGUCCCGGACGCCGCCCAGGGUCUCGCUCUGUCACCCAGGCUGGAGUGCAGUGGCGUGAUCUCGGCUCACUGCAACCUCCGCCUCCCGGGUUCAAGCGAUUCUCCCGCCUCAGCCUCCCGAGGAGCUGGGAUCACAGGUGUGCACCACCGCGUCCGUCUCAUUGUUAAAUUUUUCCUAGAGACGAGGUUUCGCCACGUUGCCCAGGCUGGUCUCAAACCCCUGAGCUCAGGUGAUCCCCCCACCUCGGCCUCCGAAGGCGCUGGGCUUCCAGGCGUGCAGAGGGCUCUUCGUCUACACGCAUCACUGGAUUUUCUACCCACGGGGACACGUGACCCCAGCGAGGUGGUCAGGGAGUCGUCGCCGGCCGGCGCUGCAGCCCAGGGAUGAUGACGGCUCUAGGAGGGGUCCCACAGGCUGGUGACAGCGCGACUGAAGGCCACGCUCCAGUCAGGAGGCCGUCCCACGUGUGACCCCAGGUCUUCGCGCCCACUCCUGACCCAGGGUCCUGGCCUUCCACGUGUGACCCUGGUUCCGGCACUUGUCCCCGCCCCCUCUGUCCUGUUCCCCUCCUCUCUCCCCAUGCCCCCUCCUCUUUCCCCAUCUCCCCUCCCCUCCCCCCGACCCCCCUCCCCUCCCC
Long non-coding RNA from Gorilla gorilla gorilla (western lowland gorilla), 1374 nucleotides. RefSeq lists it as uncharacterized. The record is from RefSeq and is a predicted model, not a curated record. Lineage: Eukaryota; Metazoa; Chordata; Mammalia; Primates; Hominidae. The transcript is spliced from 3 exons.